CUUGUGGCCAUGGAGAAGAGGGAAGAAAAGGCAAGUUUUAUGAUUGUUGCAAGGAAUGGAAAAAGAACUCACAGGUAGAUUUGAUGCAGCUAUAUACAAGAAUGGCUUCUUCAUUUUAUAUCACACUAUCCACUUUCAUCUAUUCUUGAACCCAGGAAAAGAAAACUAUUAUAGUCAUUUCUGCAACAACUGCUAUAAAUUGAUUUGGACUGGACCCUGAUGAAGAUUUUUCUUUCAACAAUUUGGCACCCAGGAUGGGACUCUAAGUUAACCUCUCUAGUGGACUGAGACUGGCAGCAGACCCCUUGUGUCUGUGGAUGGGUUUCCGAAGCCCUGCCCAUUUGGAGCAAAGGUAGUAAAGGGAGUUUUGAGUUUGAGUUCAAGGGCUGCUUUGGAAAGAAACCCUGCACAGAUAACCCCCACAAUCUUUGCAAGCAAAGCACACUGACCCAGAUGCUGCUUCCAUCCAUUUGAGCCAGAGAAUUGGGUUUGAAUCCAGUCAUCCACUAGAAACCCACCAUGCAACCAGAGUGGAACAGAUAUUCCCAAGUCCUACCACCCCCCAGAUGUCUGUGAAAGCUACAGAGGAAGGAAGGAGUCCUGGAGCCAUUGGCCCUCACAUGAAACCUCAGAAGAAACCUGGAAAGACUAUGGGGGGAGGGCAUAAACUCAUUGUAAGGUUUUCUUUCUUGCCUCAUUUGUAUUGUAAUAAACCAUUUGAAUGUAUUCAUGGAGGGAUGGCAUUUGGGAAUGGUUGGCACAGCAAGUAUUGAACACCUUGGAUUUCUGUCUGGAAAAUUUGUCCAGAAUGCUUGUAUUGCCUGUUUUGUAGAAGUAGCUAUAUGCACACAUGCGUGCACACCAUUUAGAAUCACACUAAGGCUAUCCCCUUCACCUAUCUUCAGUAAAGCUCCUUAGCCUGGUUCUUGCCCUAUAGCACUGAAGCUUUGUAUGCACAACUUCCUGCAAAUUCCAAGGGGAGGGAAUCAGCCCCCUUCAGGCAAUUUGCAGUUCAUAUGCUCUCACUGAGGAGGUAGCAGGAAAGAGAUCUCCAAAACCCAAGCCCUGAAUAUGUUGCACUGGUAGACUCAGAAUGGGAGUCCUAGGGCUCACUGUGUGCAAUUUAAUAGCUUGGGUUGCACACUGGCUAACCUCAAUUGAACAUCACAAACCUGGAUGCACUGAACUAAGACCUAAGGCAGGCUCAGAAAGCAGCCCUUGAAAAUGGACAGUCAGUAGUUAUGUACUGAGGUUAUGGCUGUGAAGAAUUUUGGAGGAAUGUGCAAACCUGACUUGAAGCCUUGAAGUGGCAUCAAACAUCUAAAAUAAUUGGCACAGAAUAUUGGACACUAUAAUCCCCCCCACCUAACAGAAUUUUUGCCCUGACUUUUAGACCUUCAUGGUUGAAAAGCUCCCCUUUUGGGAGCCACUGCAGGGAUCUUUUUCUGCUGCCUCUAUUAGUGUCUUCCCUUUUUUUUGCAUUAACAUUUUAAAAGUUGGUUUAUCAAGUCUCCCUGACCAGAUCAAAUUUUAAUCUUGUGCCAGUAAAAGUCUGUCAUUCACACUCUUAUGGCACAAAGAGGGAUUGUGGGAAGAAUCCAGAGAAAGAAAUAUUUUGGGAAAUAUUAAAA
Crotalus tigris (Tiger rattlesnake) is the source of this 1631-nucleotide long non-coding RNA. RefSeq lists it as uncharacterized. NCBI's taxonomy places the organism in Eukaryota, Metazoa, Chordata, Lepidosauria, Squamata, Viperidae. The record is from RefSeq and is a predicted model, not a curated record. The transcript is spliced from 4 exons.